AAGUUUCAACAACGGAUCUCUUGGCUCUCGCAUCGAUGAAGAACGCAGCGAAAUGCGAUAAGUAAUGUGAAUUGCAGAAUUCAGUGAAUCAUCGAAUCUUUGAACGCACCUUGCGCUCCUUGGUAUUCCUUGGAGCAUGCCUGUUUGAGUAUCA
RNAcentral lists this ribosomal RNA (154 nucleotides) under Rhizoctonia sp. M1av2. Its description in RNAcentral is "5.8S ribosomal RNA". It matches the Rfam family "5.8S ribosomal RNA". Rfam says of the family: 5.8S ribosomal RNA (5.8S rRNA) is a component of the large subunit of the eukaryotic ribosome. It is transcribed by RNA polymerase I as part of the 45S precursor that also contains 18S and 28S rRNA. The record is from RNAcentral. Lineage: Eukaryota; Fungi; Basidiomycota; Agaricomycetes; Cantharellales; Ceratobasidiaceae. RNAcentral also lists the same sequence under 13 other names.